This is a microRNA precursor of Equus asinus (donkey), 113 nucleotides long. The record is from Ensembl. Lineage: Eukaryota; Metazoa; Chordata; Mammalia; Perissodactyla; Equidae.
GGGCUGGAUCCUGAGUCCCGGGCCCCUUGUCUGACCUCUCUCCCUGCAGGGUGUGACUCUGACGGACCUGAAGGAAGCAGAGAAGGCCGCAGGGAAGGCCCCAGAGCCAGAAA